This 516-nucleotide ribosomal RNA is filed under the name uncultured bacterium. Its description in RNAcentral is "partial 16S ribosomal RNA". It matches the Rfam family "Bacterial small subunit ribosomal RNA", at positions 355 to 864 of the family's 1533-position model. The record is from RNAcentral.
UGGGGAAUUUUGGACAAUGGGCGAAAGCCUGAUCCAGCAAUGCCGCGUGUGUGAAGAAGGCCUUCGGGUUGUAAAGCACUUUUGUCCGGAAAGAAAUCCUUGGCUCUAAUACAGUCGGGGGAUGACGGUACCGGAAGAAUAAGCACAGGCUAACUACGUGCCAGCAGCCGCGGUAAUACGUAGGGUGCAAGCGUUAAUCGGAAUUACUGGGCGUAAAGCGUGCGCAGGCGGUUUGCUAAGACCGAUGUGAAAUCCCCGGGCUCAACCUGGGAACUGCAUUGGUGACUGGCAGGCUAGAGUAUGGCAGAGGGGGGUAGAAUUCCACGUGUAGCAGUGAAAUGCGUAGAGAUGUGGAGGAAUACCGAUGGCGAAGGCAGCCCCCUGGGCCAAUACUGACGCUCAUGCACGAAAGCGUGGGGAGCAAACAGGAUUAGAUACCCUGGUAGUCCACGCCCUAAACGAUGUCAACUAGUUGUUGGGGAUUCAUUUCCUUAGUAACGUAGCUAACGCGUGAAG